GCCAUUACGCCCGGCUCAUUUUUUGUAUUUUUAGUAGAGACGGGGUUUCACUGUAUUAGCCAGGAUGGUCUCCAUCUCCUGACCUCGUGAUCCUGACCUCGGCUUCCCAAAGUGCUGGGAUUACAGGCGUGAGCCACUGCGCCCGGCAGCAAUAUGAAGUUCUAAAAGCAAGUCUUAAUCAGGAAGUGUCCUUGAUCACCAACUGCUUGCCCAGGCACGCUGGCUCUCUUACACUUCCACCUCCCACCAUGGGAUGACACAGUAAGAAGGCCGUCAGUAGAUGCCAGUCCCUCAGCCUUGAACCUUCCAGACUCAGAACUUUAUACCUCCAUUUUCCUCUGCUGCGUGGCCCCAGGAGAGAUUUUAAUUAGCUUUCUAACCUUGGUCCAGAUUGCACAUGCAAAGGGUAGAGGAUGCAACACCCCCGCUUGUGGAGCUGCCACUUGUCUCUGGCAUGAAAAUUCACGAGAAGAGAGGAAAUACUGAGGAGAAAAUGGCAGAUUGUGUUUGCUGACUUUUAUUGACAAAGAAGUCACCAUGAAAAUCACAGUGAACCAUUUGGAAAGCAAACUGCCAAAAAAUAAUAGUUAGUCAUGCUCUCAGGCUGGUAAUUGAAAGUUUUGUUCAAAUUGUAUUUAAUGUUCAAUAAUUGUUUAACCAUACCACUGCUUAUCUUGGGAAUGCUGAUACCAUGGAGACGAUAAGAUAAGGUGGCUGCUGAAAAUCAGAUUUAGACCCUACUUUGAUUACAUUUUUUUUUGUAUAUCCCAUGAAGGUAUUAUAUGUUAGUGAUUGUUCUAUGCUUAAUAUUUACAUAGCAACAAAGAGUAAAUGAACAGCAAUUUAUACAUGUUAUAUUGUUGACCUAUGCUAAAAGUUAGUUACCGUAAUGAAAUGGUUUGGCUGUGUCCCCACCCAAAUCUCAUCUUGAACUGUAAUCCCAUAAUCCCCCUGUGUCCUGGUGCUGGACCCAGUGGGAGGUAAUUGAAUACAGGGGCAGUGUCUCCCCCGCUGUUCUCAUGAUAGUGAGUUCUCAUGGGAUCUGAUGGUUUUAUAAGUGUCUGGCAUUUCCCUGCUUGUACUCAAUCUCUCGCCUGCCACCCUGUGAAAAGUGCCUUCUGACAUGAUUGUAAGUUUCCUGAGGCCUCCCCAACCAUGUGAAACUGUGAGUCAAUUAAACCUCUUUUCUUUGUAAGUUACCCACUCUGAAGUAUUUCUUCACAGUAGCGUGAUAACUGAAUAAUACACGUAACAAUUAUAUGAACAAAUUAUAACAAGUUUGAGAUACAUCAGGUUUAAAUUAAGGAAAAAUGUUUAAAGAAUUUUCCUCCUCAAUGUGUCUUAGGGUCGAAGAGGCGUUUUUGUUUGUUUAUGAAUAGGUCCUGUUUGCAAAAGGCUCUCAAAGGUAAAACAUAGGCUUUAACAUUCUGAGGCCAAGGAUGGAGCUGCGUCUGAUUUAUAAAGUUUCAGACGCAGUAGACAAAUUGUAGACCAAUUGACAUGAGAAACUAGUCUUCCUCUGAGGCUGGUAAAGCUGCAGAUCAGCAAACACUCAGACUUGGUACAGAGAAACAGACUGAUUUAGAAAACAUUCUCCCAUUAGCCUUUGGUAUACUUCAAUUACCUGGGAUAGAGUGAUUUCUGUGAUUUCUAAACCUUCUGUCCUACUCAUCUCACAGGCCAUAUCCAUUCUCAGAACUCAUGCUUUCCUUUAUUGUAGCCUCUGUUCUACGACUCCUCUAAUACAUUUUUAUUAGGAGCGUCAUUGAGAUAUAAUUUAUAUCCCGUAACAUUCACAUUUGAAAUGUGGCAUCCAGUGUUUUUCAAUGUAGUCACAGACUUAUGCAACUAUCACAUCUAAUUUUAGAAUAUUUUCACCGCCCUCUGAAAAAAACUAAAUAACAAUUAGCAGUAGCUCCCCAUUUCUUUUCUCUGCCAAACCACUAGCAACCAUUAAUCUAUUUUCUGUCUUUAGCCAUUUGCCAUUCUGAACAUUUAAUACAAAUAUGAUCAUUUAAUAUGUGGUUAUUUGUUAGUUUGUUUCUUUUUAAAAUAUGGUCUUUUUGACUGGCUUCUUUCACUUUGCAUAAUGUUUUCAAGGUUCAUCCAGAUUUUAGCAGAUACACGUACUUCAUUCCUUUUUUAUGCCUGAAUGAUAUUUUGUGGUAUUUUUUGCUGUUAUGAAUAAUUCACUGUUUGGCCGCCGUAAAUAUGCACGUAUAAGUCUUUUUGGGGACAUGAUUUUAUUUUGGAGGAUAUAUACCUACAUGUUGAAAUAUUGGUUCAUAUAAUAAACCUGUGUUUAAAUAUUUGAGGAACACUUCUUGAAGGUAUUGUUUGUGACACAAAUCUAUUAUGCAUAUAUGUAUGUAUUUACAUUGAUUAUGCUUUUGGUGUAGUAUCUAUCAAAGGUUAUGAAGAUUUACUGUUAUAUUUUCUUCUAAGAAUUUACAAUUUUACCUCUUACAUUUGUCUCUGUGAUUCAUUUUUCAGUUAAUUCUUGUGUAUGGUGUGAGGUAGGAGGAUAAUUUCAUUCUUUUUUGUGCGACAAUUCAGUUUUCCCAGAACUAUUUAUUGACAAGUCAAUAAAGUGAAUUGUAGCAUAGAAAAUAUUGCGUUGAAUUAUCUUGGCACCUGUAUGUAUCAAAAGUCAGUUGAUCAUAAAUGUAAGAAUUUAUUUCUGGAACCUUAUUUCUAUUCCAUUAGUUGAUAUAUUUCUCCUUGUGUUAGUACCAUAAUGUCUUAAUUGCUAUAGCAUUGUAUUAAGUUUUGAAACAGGGUAGUAUAUGUCCUUCACCUUUGUUCUUUCUUGCCAGGUUAUUUUGGCUGUUGUGGGUUUCUUGCAUUUCCAGAUGAUUGCAAAGAGCUGUUUCUCAAUUUCUGCAACAAAUGCCAGCUGAAAUUUUGCUACCAGUUUCAUUAAACAUGUAGAACAAUUUGGUAAGCAUUAUCAACUUUACCCCAUGAACACCAUAUUUUGUAGUCUCUAAUUUCUCUUAAAACAAACAGCCCCCAAUCUGUGCCCCCAAAAUUGUCAAAUACAGUCCAGCAUCUUCAUUUAUACAAAAGAAAAGAAAUUCUUUUGCAUCAUGCUAAGAACCGGACCCAGCUCUGAAUCAAACUGUGAUAUGCAAUGUAGGCCUGAAUAAAAUACUCAGCUGCUCACGUCAGACUGUCCCCAAUGAGGUCAACAGUGACUUCACAGUUUUCCUGAUUUCACAAGCAAAAUGGUUGUGUAUGUGAUUUCCAUUAAUUUAGUUCAAGAGUGCAUUCAACUCAUUUUCUCAGAAAAAAAAAGCAACAAAAAAACCAUUUUUUUCCCCAGAAUAAUAUGGAAUCAUCUACUUCUAGUAAGACACCAUGCCUGACAAUUUUUCCCAUUUCUACACUUUCAAGAUGCAAAAUUUUGGUUUUAUUUUAACAUAUACAAAAACCAUAAAUGCUUUUAAAAUAUAGAAAAUAUUUUUGCUAUGUAAGGACCAAUAAUUACUACAUGCCAAUAUAGUACCACAACCAUUAAAUACACAUGAGAAAAUUCAUGAUAUAAUCAUUUCACACUCCUUUCUUCUAUGUACCACCAUAGGUACCACCAUAGGUAGAAGAACAUUUAUUUCAACUAGCUUAAUACUUUUAUGUAAAGUAAACCAUAAAGGAAAUUGAAACCAAAA
This 3668-nucleotide long non-coding RNA is filed under the name Pongo abelii (Sumatran orangutan). RNAcentral describes it as "lincRNA". The record is from RNAcentral. Lineage: Eukaryota; Metazoa; Chordata; Mammalia; Primates; Hominidae.